RNAcentral lists this unclassified non-coding RNA (276 nucleotides) under uncultured fungus. Its description in RNAcentral is "sequence contains ITS1, 5.8S rRNA gene". The stretch from base 228 to 276 matches the Rfam family "5.8S ribosomal RNA", at positions 1 to 49 of the family's 154-position model. Lineage: Eukaryota; Fungi. The record is from RNAcentral.
UUUCCGUAGGUGAACCUGCGGAAGGAUCAUUACCGAGUUAGGGUUUCCGUUAGGAGCCCGACCUCCCAACCCUUUGUCUAUGAUACCAUACAGUUGCUUCGGCGUGCCGAGGAAUAACAGCCUCGCUGGGCCUUCUGGGCCGAGAGCGUGCACGUCGAUGGCCUCAUUAAACUAUUGAAACCAAAACCUGUCGUCUGAACAUUUGUGAUUACUAUAAUCAAAAACAAAACUUUCAACAACGGAUCUCUUGGUUCUGGCAUCGAUGAAGAACGCAGC